AGCAUAUGACAGUCUCGUUUCCGGGGAAGUCAAACCUCUCUUCUGCUUCUUUUUAUAACCUUUAAGUUAAAUCAGAAUCCAGAUAAGCCUGGAUCCAAGGAUGAUAUGACCACAGCAAGCACCAUGGGACCCUCUAGAGAAAUCAGGAAGACUUUUCGAAACAUGGUGUGAUGUCUACUGCUGGAGACAGGCCAUGAGGUCCAGGGAAGAGGGGGUGGCCUGAUCCGGGGCAAUGAAGGUGCAAUGCUGAAGAAUCAGCCGGAGGAGAGAAGCAGCAGGCACCAUGGAAAAAACAAAAACGAAGCAAGGAGAGAAUGAACAUAUGACGAUGAAUAACCCUUCAACACAGAUUUACCAGUUGCAGGCCCUGGCCUCUGAACUCAAAACUGGUUUCACAGAAGCAAUGCAAGAACUGUCCAGAAUUCAACAUGGAGAAUAUGCUUUGGAAGAGAAGGUUAAGAGCUGCAAAUGUUCCAUGGAAGAAAAAGUUACUGAGAUGAAGAAUUCAUUAAACUAUUUCAAGGAAGAGCUAAGCAAUGCUAUGUCAAUGAUACAGGCCAUCACUUCCAAACAAGAAGAAAUGCAACAGAAAAUUGAACAGCUUCAACAGGAGAAGCGAAGAGAAUCUCGAAAAGUAAAAGCCAAGAAAAUGCAAAAAGAAGAACACGGCCCACAGGCUGGGCCUGGUCAAGCACAAGGAAGUCCCUUCCGUUCAAUCAACGUCCCUGAGCCUGUUAUUCCAAAUGAAGACUUUACAAACAUUCUGCCUUCUCAAGCCUAUGAAAAAGCCCAAGAGUCCAGAUCCAUGCAUAUAGGAGACAGUAAUGUGAAAGGGAUGAUGGGUCCUGGAAUGAACCCAACAACUCCAGAAUCAGAAGAAAACCUCAAGCCUUGCCUCCCAGCUGAUAUCCAGUCUAAGGGCCAUCUGCCAUCUGGUGUGUGGAGGCAACCUAAGGAUGGUAAAGAGUGGGGUGAGGAAUAUGUCACAAAAGACCACCCAGAUAAACUCAAGGAAGUUGGCCAGGGCAGACAUAGCUCCUUGGAAAAUGUUUUAUGUGAAACCUCUUUAGCUGCUAAAAGACAGACUGUGGCUCUGGAACUGCUUGAAUCAGAAAGAAAGUAUGUCAUUAACAUCUCUCUCAUCCUGAAGAUCAAGGCAACAUUCCAGGGGUCAGAUGGAAAGAGGAAUUCCAAAGAGAGAAGCCUCUUUCCUGGCUCUUUACGGUACCUUGUCCAGCAGCACUUGGAUUUGCUUCAUGCUCUGCAGGAAAGGGUCCUGAAGUGGCCACGCCAAGGAGUCCUUGGAGAUUUAUUCCUUAAAUUAACAAAUGAUGAGAAUAAUUUCUUGGAUUAUUAUGUUGCCUACCUGAGGGACCUGCCUGAAUGCAUCUCUUUGGUUCACGUCGUUGUUCUGAAGGAGGGUGAUGAAGAGAUUAAAUCUGACAUCUAUACACUGUUCUUUCACAUAGUCCAGCGCAUCCCUGAAUAUCUGAUACAUCUGCAGAAUGUCCUGAAGUUCACAGAGCAGGAACACCCUGACUAUUACCUACUUCUGGUGUGUGUUCAGCGUCUUCGAGUAUUUAUCUCACACUACACCCUGCUGUUUCAAUGCAAUGAGGAUUUGCUUAUUCAGAAACGGAAAAAGCUCAAGAAGUCAUCCAUGGCAAAACUGUACAAAGGGCUGGCUUCCCAGUGUGCAAAUGCCGGGCAAGAUGCUUCCCCCACUGCAGGCUCUGAAGCUGUCCGUGACAGUGGGAUCCAUUCGGAAGAGAUGUUGCAACCCUACCCUUCUGCUCCAAGUUCUGGCCCUCCCGUCACACAUUUGCUGCCCCCAAUGAAGAAAAGCCAACAACAGCAAAGCUUGAUGGAGAGUAUGCAGCCGGGGAAGCCCAGUGACUGGGAGAUGGAGAGCAGGAAGCACGAGAGGCCCGAGAACCUCCUGGCGCCCUCGCAGUUUUGUGCCGCCGAGCAGGACGUGAAGGCGCUCGCCGGGCCCUUGCAGGCCAUCCCGGAGAUGGACUAUGAGCCCUCGCCGGCCGAGCCCUCGUUGGGCAACGUGGAGCGCUCCUUGCGCGCCCCGGCCGAGCUCCUGUCCGACGGCCGCAGCUUCGUGCCCUCGGCUUACGAGGAGUUUGAAUAUGGCGGCGAGAUCUUCGCGCUGCCCGCGCCCUACGACGAGGAGCCUUUCCAGGCCCCGGCCCUCUUCGAGAACUGCUCGCCCGCCUCUUCCGAGUCCAGCUUGGACAUAUGCUUCCUCCGCCCUGUCAGCUUCGCUAUGGAGGCCGAGCGGCCAGAGCACCCGCUACAACAGCUGCCCAAGAGCGCCACGUCGCCCGCGAGCAGCAGCGGCGCCUACAAGCUCGAGGCGGCUACGCAGGCGCACGGCAAGGCCAAGCCGCUGAGCCGCUCGCUCAAGGAGUUCCCGCGCGCACCGCCCCCCGAGGGCGUGGCCCCGCGCCUCUACAGCACGCGCAGCAGCAGCGGCGGCCGCGCGCCGCUCAAAGCCGAGCGUGCCGCGCAGCCGCACGGCCCGGCCGCUGUCGCCACGGCUCGCGGUGUGCCCAGGGCCUAUUUCCCCCAACAGAGGUCCCAAAGCGAAAAACAGACCUAUUUGGAAGUAAGGAGGGAGAUGCAUUUAGAAGACACCACCAGAUUCUGUCCAAAGGAAGAAAGAGAAAGUGAACAAACAUCUUUCAGCGAUCAAAACCCCAGGCAAGACCAGAAAGGGGGCUUUCGCAGCUCCUUCCGCAAGCUCUUUAAAAAGAAAAAUGGGAACGCAUCUGGUGAAGAUUUCUGUGGUCCUUGGGGCUGGUGGUGACAGCAAAGCUUUCCCAUUUCCAGUUACAGAGUUCCUCAAACGUUAAAGACUAAUGUCUCAACCAGAAGAAAAGAUUUUAAAACAGAAGGCUGUACAAGAUUUUAAAACUGAGAUUUAUAUCGAUUUCAUCACAGUCCUCCCUUUCAAGAAUCUUCUUCCUGUUCUGCAAAUCUAUUUGUAAGUCUUCUUCCAGAUUUUAGGAAGUAGCAGCUGUACCUUCCUG
Molecule: RNA transcript, 3041 nt
Organism: Phyllostomus hastatus (greater spear-nosed bat)
Lineage: Eukaryota; Metazoa; Chordata; Mammalia; Chiroptera; Phyllostomidae
Gene: ARHGEF33
Gene name: Rho guanine nucleotide exchange factor 33
Exons: 20
Source: RefSeq, a predicted model, not a curated record